GAAGAGUACUUAAAAGCACACACCCAGCCACUGACACCAUCAAGGCAUCAACUUACACCACUGUCUCAUGUCUAUUUCCAUGCACACCACAAAGAAAAACCAAAACGACAAACACUUAUAAUCCAAUGGUCAGAUGAUGACCCAAAGCUGGAUCUCAUCUCUAGUGAGCUGCAUGACCCACUUGAUGCCAGGCAGGAUGAUGAGAUACCAUUAAAACACAAUUAUUUCGAUGUUUUCCAAAUUAUUAUCCAAGCACCAAGAGUGAUCAAAGAAUUUAGUCCAGCCUCCAUAGAGCUCGUCACCAUGUUAAUCGUCUUGAGUCACCAAUCGUCAAAUUGUAUAGUGGGCGGAUCACUGGAAAAUCUGGGAGGCCAAAAUGUAUAAGUAGCAAUGGACAUUGAGAAGAUGCAAGAGGCCAAGAUGCGGUGGAUCAUCUCACUUUUCUGAUCACAUAGCAGACAGCACUCCAGAUGUGCCAACUCCUGUAGAGCUAAGCGAUCUGCUGUACAGAAUUGUUAUGGGCUACUAUUAACCAAUGGAAGAACUGGCAUUUCUUGGGGGUCCAUGAAUUCCAUAUCAAUUUCCAUGGCUCAAAGGGGAUGUAUCCUAUGUAGGAAUCCAUGAAGUUGACUAUGGGGG
RNAcentral lists this unclassified non-coding RNA (639 nucleotides) under Zea mays. RNAcentral describes it as "misc RNA Zm00001eb014650". The record is from RNAcentral. Lineage: Eukaryota; Viridiplantae; Streptophyta; Magnoliopsida; Poales; Poaceae.